This 424-nucleotide ribosomal RNA is filed under the name Verrucomicrobiota bacterium. RNAcentral describes it as "Verrucomicrobia bacterium partial 16S ribosomal RNA". It matches the Rfam family "Bacterial small subunit ribosomal RNA", at positions 355 to 776 of the family's 1533-position model. The record is from RNAcentral. Lineage: Bacteria; Pseudomonadati; Verrucomicrobiota.
UGAGGAAUAUUGGUCAAUGGGCGAGAGCCUGAACCAGCCAAGUAGCGUGCAGGAUGACGGCCCUAUGGGUUGUAAACUGCUUUUAUAUGGGAAUAAAGUGAGGGACGUGUCCCUUAUUGCAUGUACCAUACGAAUAAGGACCGGCUAAUUCCGUGCCAGCAGCCGCGGUAAUACGGAAGGUCCAGGCGUUAUCCGGAUUUAUUGGGUUUAAAGGGAGCGUAGGCUGUUUGUUAAGCGUGUUGUGAAAUGUAGGAGCUCAACUUCUAGAUUGCAGCGCGAACUGUCAGACUUGAGUGCGCACAACGUAGGCGGAAUUCAUGGUGUAGCGGUGAAAUGCUUGGAUAUCAUGAAGAACUCCGAUUGCGAAGGCAGCUUACGGGAGCGCAACUGACGCUGAAGCUCGAAGGUGCGGGUAUCGAACAGG